This 236-nucleotide long non-coding RNA is filed under the name Brassica napus (rape). RNAcentral's name for it is "long non-coding RNA (BNAP_LNC025895)". Lineage: Eukaryota; Viridiplantae; Streptophyta; Magnoliopsida; Brassicales; Brassicaceae. The record is from RNAcentral.
GUGGGGUUUAGGGUUUAGGGUUUAGGGUUUAGGAUUUAGGGUUUAGGGUUUAGGGUUUAGAGUUUAGAGUUUAGGGUUUAGGGUUUAGAGUUUAGGGUUUAGGGUUUAGAGUUGAGAAAUGAGGUUUUGGGGAUAAGAUUUCAAAUUUAGAAAAAUAAAAAAAUUAAAAUUUUGAAAAGAUAAAAUGCUAUUUUGAUCAUUUUAGUUUUUGAAUGCUAUUUUUGUGAUAUAAAAUU